This 809-nucleotide ribosomal RNA is filed under the name uncultured bacterium. RNAcentral describes it as "bacterial SSU rRNA". It matches the Rfam family "Bacterial small subunit ribosomal RNA", at positions 8 to 796 of the family's 1533-position model. The record is from RNAcentral.
AGAGUUUGAUCAUGGCUCAGAAUCAACGCUGGCGGCGUGCCUAACACAUGCAAGUCGAACGCGAAAGCCUCGCAAGGGGCCUGUAGCGUGGCAAACGGGUGAGUAACACGUGGGUGACCUGCCUUCGAGCGGGGGAUAACGCUCCGAAAGGGACGCUAAUACCGCAUGACAUCCUGCCUUUGAAGAGGUGGAGAUCAAAGCCGGGGAUCGCAAGACCUGGCACUCGAAGAGGGGCCCGCGCCUGAUUAGCUAGUUGGUGGGGUAAUGGCUCACCAAGGCAACGAUCAGUAUCCGGCCUGAGAGGGCGGACGGACACACUGGGACUGAGACACGGCCCAGACUCCUACGGGAGGCAGCAGUGGGGAAUUGUUCGCAAUGGGCGCAAGCCUGACGACGCAACGCCGCGUGGAGGAUGAAGACCUUCGGGUCGUAAACUCCUUUCGAUCGAGACGAAUGGCCUUCGGGUUAACAGCCCGGAGGAGUGACGGUACCGAGAGAAGAAGCCCCGGCUAACUCCGUGCCAGCAGCCGCGGUAAUACGGGGGGGGCAAGCGUUGUUCGGAAUUACUGGGCGUAAAGGGCUCGUAGGUGGCCAACUAAGUCAGACGUGAAAUCCCUCGGCUUAACUGGGGAACUGCGUCUGAUACUGGAUGGCUUGAGUUUGGGAGAGGGAUGCGGAAUUCCAGGUGUAGCGGUGAAAUGCGUAGAUAUCUGGAGGAACACCGGUGGCGAAGGCGGCAUCCUGGACCAAUACUGACACUGAGGAGCGAAAGCCAGGGGAGCAAACGGGAUUAGAUACCCCCGUAGUCC